AGUCGGGCGGUAACAGGAAUUAGCUUGCUAAUUUGCUGACGAGCGGCGGACGGGUGAGUAACGCGUAGGAAUCUGCCUGGUAGUGGGGGACAACAUGUGGAAACGCAUGCUAAUACCGCAUACGCCCUACGGGGGAAAGGAGGGGAUCUUCGGACCUUUCGCUAUCAGAUGAGCCUGCGUGAGAUUAGCUAGUUGGUGGGGUAAAGGCUCACCAAGGCGACGAUCUCUAGCUGGUCUGAGAGGAUGAUCAGCCACACUGGGACUGAGACACGGCCCAGACUCCUACGGGAGGCAGCAGUGGGGAAUAUUGGACAAUGGGCGCAAGCCUGAUCCAGCCAUGCCGCGUGUGUGAAGAAGGCCUUCGGGUUGUAAAGCACUUUCAGAGGUGAGGAAGGGUGUGCCGUUAAUACCGGUAUGCUUUGACGUUAGCCUCAGAAGAAGCACCGGCUAACUCUGUGCCAGCAGCCGCGGUAAUACGGAUGGUGCGAGCGUUAAUCGGAAUUACUGGGCGUAAAGCGCGCGUAGGUGGUUUGUUAAGUCGGAUGUGAAAGCCCAGGGCUCAACCUUGGAAUUGCACCCGAUACUGGCAAGCUAGAGUACGGUAGAGGGGUGUGGAAUUUCCUGUGUAGUGGUGAAAUGC
RNAcentral lists this ribosomal RNA (640 nucleotides) under uncultured Oceanospirillaceae bacterium. RNAcentral's name for it is "bacterial SSU rRNA". It matches the Rfam family "Bacterial small subunit ribosomal RNA", at positions 60 to 689 of the family's 1533-position model. Lineage: Bacteria; Pseudomonadati; Pseudomonadota; Gammaproteobacteria; Oceanospirillales; Oceanospirillaceae. The record is from RNAcentral.